This 461-nucleotide ribosomal RNA is filed under the name uncultured bacterium. RNAcentral describes it as "partial 16S ribosomal RNA". It matches the Rfam family "Bacterial small subunit ribosomal RNA", at positions 338 to 795 of the family's 1533-position model. The record is from RNAcentral.
CCUACGGGGGGCAGCAGUGAGGAAUAUUGGUCAAUGGGCUUACGCCUGAACCAGCCAAGUCGCGUGAGGGAAGACUGCCCUAUGGGUUGUAAACCUCUUUUGUCAGGGAGCAAUUGGCGCUACGUGUAGCGUUAUCGAGAGUACCUGAAGAAAAAGCAUCGGCUAACUCCGUGCCAGCAGCCGCGGUAAUACGGAGGAUGCGAGCGUUAUCCGGAUUUAUUGGGUUUAAAGGGAGCGUAGGUGGAUUGUUAAGUCAGUUGUGAAAGUUUGCGGCUCAACCGUAAAAUUGCAGUUGAAACUGGCAGUCUUGAGUACAGUAGAGGUGGGCGGAAUUCGUGGUGUAGCGGUGAAAUGCUUAGAUAUCACGAAGAACUCCGAUUGCGAAGGCAGCUUACUAAGCCAUAACUGACACUGAAGCACGAAAGCGUGGGGAUCAAACAGGAUUAGAUACCCGGGUAGUC